RNAcentral lists this transfer RNA (75 nucleotides) under bacterium. RNAcentral's name for it is "tRNA-Ile". It matches the Rfam family "tRNA". Rfam says of the family: Transfer RNA (tRNA) molecules are approximately 80 nucleotides in length. RNAcentral also lists the same sequence under 2 other names. The record is from RNAcentral.
GGGCGCAUAGCUCAAGGGCAGAGCACUGUGCUGAUAACGCAGGGGUUCGUGGUUCGAAUCCACGUGCGCCCACCA